AGCGGUUUUGUAAUGCGGUAUGGU
Molecule: non-coding RNA, 24 nt
Filed under: Arabidopsis thaliana (thale cress)
Lineage: Eukaryota; Viridiplantae; Streptophyta; Magnoliopsida; Brassicales; Brassicaceae
Source: RNAcentral